CCUACGGGAGGCAGCAGUGAGGAAUAUUGGUCAAUGGUCGGGCGACUGAACCAGCCAAGCCGCGUGAGGGAUGAAGGUCCAGAGUAUCGUAAACCUCUUUUGUCAGGGAACAAAGGCGGGGACGUGUCCCCGUAUGAGUGUACCUGAAGAAAAAGCAUCGGCUAACUCCGUGCCAGCAGCCGCGGUAAUACGGAGGAUGCGAGCGUUAUCCCGAUUUAUUGGGUUUAAAGGGUGCGCAGACGGGUCGUUAAGUGAGCUGUGAAAGCGCGGGGCUCAACCCCAGGACUGCAUUUGAAACGGGCAGUCUCGAGUUGGAGAGAGGUAUGCGGAAUGCGCGGUGUAGCGGUGAAAUGCAUAGAUAUCGCGAAGAACUCCGAUUGCGAAGGCAGCAUGCCGGCUCCACACUGACGCUGAGGCACGAAAGCGUGGGUAUCGAACAGGAUUAGAUACCCGAGUAGUC
RNAcentral lists this ribosomal RNA (460 nucleotides) under uncultured bacterium. RNAcentral describes it as "partial 16S ribosomal RNA". It matches the Rfam family "Bacterial small subunit ribosomal RNA", at positions 338 to 795 of the family's 1533-position model. The record is from RNAcentral.